This is a long non-coding RNA of Oncorhynchus tshawytscha (Chinook salmon), 1207 nucleotides long. Lineage: Eukaryota; Metazoa; Chordata; Actinopteri; Salmoniformes; Salmonidae. The record is from Ensembl.
GAGAUUUCAAAACGUUUAUAAUCAUGACUAGAGAGUCUGUCAACGAAUACAGCAUAGAGCUGCUGUUUUUAUGACGCUACAACAAGCAGUGCAUCAGUAGUGAAUGAGAGGGGUGCGUCACUUGAGUGGGUUGAGUCACUGACGUGGUCUUCCUGUCUGGGUUGGCGUCCCCCCUUGGGUUGUGCCGUGGUGGAGAUCUUUGUGGGCUAUACUCAGCCUUGUCUCAGGAUGGUAAGUUGGUGGUUGAAGAUAUCCCUCUAGUGGUGUGGGGGCUGUGCUUUGGCAAAGUGGGAUCAUCGGAUGGGGCCACAGUGUCUCCUGACCCCUCCUGUCUCAGCCUCCAGUAUUCAUGCUGCAGUAGUUUAUGUGUCGGGGGGCUAGAGUCAGUCUGUUAUAUCUAGAGUAUUUCUCCUGUCUUAUCCGGUGCCCUGUGUGAAUUUAAGUAUGCUCUCUCUAAUUCUCUCCUUUCUUUCUUUCUUUCUUUCUUUCUUUCUUUCUUUCUUUCUUUCUUUCUUUCUUUCUUUCUUUCUUUCUCUCGGAGGACCUGAGCCCUAGGACCAUGCCUCAGGACUACCUGGCAUGAUGGCUCCUUGUUGUCCCCAGUCCACCUGGUUGUGCUGCUGCUCCAGUUUCAACUGUUCUGCCUGUGGCUUACGAACCCUGACCUGUUCACUGUGAUUACUAUUAUUUGACCAUGCUGGUCAUUUAUGAACAUCUUGGCCAUGUUCUGUUAUAAUCUCCACCCGGCACAGCCAGAAGAGGACUGGCCACCCCUCAUAGCCUGGUUCCUCUCUAGGUUUCUUCCUAGGUUUUUGCCUUUCUAGGGAGUUUUUCCUAGCCACCGUGCUUCUACACCUGCAUUGCUUGCUGUUUGGGGUUUUAGGCUGGGUUUCUGUACAGCACUUUGAGAUAUCAGCUGAUGUACGAAGGGCUAUAUAAAUAAAUUUGAUUUGAUUUGAUGAGAGGUAAAAAUCCUCUGCAUAGACUGCCACCAUUAUUACAAAUGUGAAUAGCUAAUUACGGAAAAUAAGAUUUAAAAAAAUAUCUAUAUUAAAAUGAUUGUUUAAUGGCUAUAUAAAAUACACAUUGAGGUGAGGGCGGUGGAAAUGCUUUUGAUCUACUUCUGUUCUGUAAAUGACACUGUGUGCUCUUUUCGAAGGAUGGGUCCUGGUUUUUCCGGGGCCUUGGGAUUCUGGGGGUUCGGGGG